This 912-nucleotide long non-coding RNA is filed under the name Homo sapiens (human). Its description in RNAcentral is "HSALNT0335650". The record is from RNAcentral. Lineage: Eukaryota; Metazoa; Chordata; Mammalia; Primates; Hominidae.
UUCAAAGCCAUUUUGAAAACAAGUGCUCAACGUUUUGGGGGAGAAUUUUUAUUGAUUAGCUGCCAUGAAAUCACUCAUCAUACUUCUGGUAAGCUGCCAUCUGAAGAGGCAUGAAAAAGUUCCGUGGUGUCUGCUGAGUGUUCUCGGUUAAUCCAGUCCAAAUUAUUAAGCCUUCAUAAUCCUCCAAGACACGUAAUCAGAUAAGACUGCAACUGAUUUGAAGAAAUCCUUAAUUGCAGAAAUCAUCAAGCCUUGGUUGAGCAAUUGGUGUGGUAACUGCUCAAUGCAGCCCUCCUGCUGAAAUGAGGAUCCUGCUGAAAGAACCGGCUCUUCUGCUGGGCGAGAUGAAAGCGUUCAUCUUCUCCGGAGAACACACGAAGUCCUCACCUUGCAAGCAGAGACCAGGCCCUCCCCAGACACUGAGCUUGGUGGCACUUGGAUUUUGGACUUCCAGCCUCCAAAAUUGUGAGAACCUAUUCAUUGACCUGCUCAAGUAACAUAUCUCUCCAGCCAAAUUUUAAGUAACCACCUUCCUUUAUUACUGUUAUGGAAAUAAAAUACUUUAAGAAACAGAAGCUUUGGGAGGCCAAAGUGGGCAGAUCAAUUGAGGUCAAGAGUUCAAGACCAGCCUAGCCAACAUGGUGAAACCAUGUCUCUGCUAAAAAUACAAAAAUUAGCCUGGCGUGGUGACUCAGCCCCUGUAAUCCCAGCUACUCUGGAGGCCUGGGCACGCAGGAGAAUCACUUGAACCUGGGAGGAAAAGGUUGCAGUAAGCUGAGAUCACACCACUGCUCUCCAGCCUGGGAAACACAGUAAGAGUUUGUCUUAAAAUAAAAUAAAAUAAAAUAAAUGGAAAAUUUCUUUUGCUGCAUUUAACAAUAAAAUGAUAAGAAAACAGGUAACCCUCGCUGC